GGGCAUUCUCUUUCCAGUUUAUCCCAGAUCUCCAGUUCACCAUGGAAGUCAUAGAUCCUGGGGUCCGAAGCAACCCACUCACAGAGCAACACUGGGUAGGACGUUUAAACUGUCUAGUAGCAAACAGUCCUGAUGAUGAAUGCAGCUUUACUGUGCGGGUGAUGACAACAAUAUUCAAUUGAAUUAGAAUCUCAGCCAGACCAUUUCCAUCAAUAAUUAAUAUGUUGUUGGGUCAAUAACAAAGCUGGGUUGUAAUCAAUAUUACAUCAUAAAGCAGUAAUUGCUGAGCACCUCAAUACAAUUUGGAAGUUUCAAAGUGGAUUGUAAUAUGUUAUUUCCCAAGGCACUUAGGUCAGCGUUUUGCUGAGAGGGGAAGUUGUUUUUAUAAAUGCUUAGCGAUUUGCCGAGGACACAGAGAAAAACAUGACAAAAUGGGGAAUACGUUUCCUAUUCCCUGGACCCCCAAACUUGUGUCUUAACAGGCCUUCCUGGUAUUCGUGAUACGUGCUGACAUUUGAGAACCAAUGAAAACACCAGAUGAGAAGGAAGCUGAGGUUAUAUCUAGCCAAGUUUGGCAUCACCACUCAGAAAGACUGGGGUUUCCAGGUGGCUGUCUCCAAGCAAACUGCUCUGUUGGGGCCCAGUUUCCAUCACCAACACCACAUGGAAAGACCAGCACCAUAACAAAGGCACAUCACGUCAACUGGAAAACCCAAGAAGGCCGUGCUGAUGCCCAGCGUCAAGUCAGGCAGAACUACCC
This 760-nucleotide long non-coding RNA is filed under the name Felis catus (domestic cat). Its description in RNAcentral is "lncRNA (ENSFCAG00000053428.1)". The record is from RNAcentral. Lineage: Eukaryota; Metazoa; Chordata; Mammalia; Carnivora; Felidae.